CGGAGUGUAGCUCAGCUUGGUAGAGCACUGCCUUCGGGAGGCAGGGGUCGGAGGUUCGAAUCCUCUCACUCCGACCA
This 77-nucleotide transfer RNA is filed under the name Palleronia marisminoris. Its description in RNAcentral is "tRNA_Pro_CGG". It matches the Rfam family "tRNA". From Rfam's summary of the family: Transfer RNA (tRNA) molecules are approximately 80 nucleotides in length. The record is from RNAcentral. RNAcentral also lists the same sequence under 16 other names. Lineage: Bacteria; Pseudomonadati; Pseudomonadota; Alphaproteobacteria; Rhodobacterales; Roseobacteraceae.